CCCAACCUAGCUGCCUCCCUGGAGCUGUUUCCUGCUGCUCUCCCUGCCUUGCCCUCUCAACCCCACUGGGAUCCAACCAGCCUGGGCCCUUCUCAUCUCCACUGCCCCCUCAAGGGAACGAAAGCCUCAGAGGAGGGAUGCCACACCCUUCUCCAGCCUCCACUGAGCCACCCAAGCAACCAGCUAUACUAAGAUAUUAGAAGAUGACUGGGAUACAAUUAUUGGUUGAGUAAAGAUAUUUGAUGCUAACACGAGAAGGGCAGCAAGGAUGAAAAAACAGCGGAGAAAUUAAUAAUAACGAUAAGCAACGAGAGGUUUCAUUUCUUUGGCUGGUACAUAAACCUCAUGAAGGACUGUCUUGUUCCAACCAUGAAGGCCACAACUGAAGAUCAUGCUAAAUAGGAGCCAGGCAUGAUGACAGAUAAUUAAGGUCUUCUCAUGAUCUGGGAGAAGAGCUUCUGCCAGGUUCUGUCAGGUUUACUGAGCCCAUUCUCCCCACGGACGAUCCUGCCUGGAACCCUGGGCGGAUGGAUUGGCCACCCACAUGACUGGCGGCUCCAUCACGGAGAUGGCAGGGGUGGUAGGGAUUGGGGUCCGGCUGGCCCCUGGAAGUUCCAGGAUGCCACGUGCAAGUGUGUGGGGCAUCCUGGAGAGACGCCCGAGGCUGAGAGGCUGUUUGAAGACUCCUGGUUGGGAGUCUACUCGUGUGUUGCUGCGCACCGCGGCAACACACAAGCAACCAAAUGGGGUUAACAGAGUGCUUGCUCCAUUAACCUAAUUUAAGGGAAGGGUGUUUUAGGCAGGCUAGCUGCCUUGGGAGCACCAGGCUCACCU
Long non-coding RNA from Hemicordylus capensis (graceful crag lizard), 834 nucleotides. RefSeq lists it as uncharacterized. The transcript has 3 exons. The record is from RefSeq and is a predicted model, not a curated record. Lineage: Eukaryota; Metazoa; Chordata; Lepidosauria; Squamata; Cordylidae.